This 23-nucleotide non-coding RNA is filed under the name Arabidopsis thaliana (thale cress). The record is from RNAcentral. Lineage: Eukaryota; Viridiplantae; Streptophyta; Magnoliopsida; Brassicales; Brassicaceae.
CACUGUAUAGAGUACUCCCCUGC